RNAcentral lists this long non-coding RNA (270 nucleotides) under Homo sapiens (human). Its description in RNAcentral is "LNC_000663". The record is from RNAcentral. Lineage: Eukaryota; Metazoa; Chordata; Mammalia; Primates; Hominidae.
CUCUGUAUUGCAUAUGAUGAGAGCCAGGCGUGUGCGGUUGUUUCUCUCCUUUAUUGGAUAGAUCUCUUCAGCUCUUUCUUUACAUAGUCUCAGGAAUUCUUCAUGAGGACAAAGCUUGAGGGCAUCUGUAGAUUCUCCUGACUCAGGUGGUCCAGCCUCCAUAUUCGGAUGAGCUUUUUUAUUGGGGGAUAUUUGGUCUAUGUUAAAAAAGGUUUGAAGAAGCAUUUGUCCUGCCAUACGUUGCUUCUCUUGCAUAGAGUCUGCCAUGAC